This is a long non-coding RNA of Salvia miltiorrhiza (redroot sage), 1673 nucleotides long. RefSeq lists it as uncharacterized. Lineage: Eukaryota; Viridiplantae; Streptophyta; Magnoliopsida; Lamiales; Lamiaceae. The transcript is spliced from 2 exons. The record is from RefSeq and is a predicted model, not a curated record.
CAAUUCACGCAAGGCAGCCACUUUACGCCUCCACCCAUCUAUAUCAGCCAACAACCCUUUGUUUCUCCCUUAGACACCAGAAAAUUGAGGGAAAGAGAUAGAGCUUGCAAAGCUUCUACCGGAACUUCGAAGAGUUCUUCUCCUGCUGAAAUCAACAAACAGCCUCAAACAUAUAACAUUUUACAAGGUAAACACUAGGCUCAGCUCAUUCAAUCCAUUCGUUUUUCAUCCAACAAGCAUGAUCGAUUAAAUGAUACUAAGCAUACAACGAGUAUAUAUUUUCAUAAGGAGACUUAGCAAACUCAUAUGAUCUUUAGGCAGAAAUCAAUAUGUAUAUGUAUAUGUAUUCUUUUCAUAAGAUACAUGCGUGAGAACUUUUUCGAUGCAGUCCCAAAGCCACACGCCAUUAAUCUAUUGUAUAAUCGGUAAAUAGGAACCAAGAGAAUCAGUUAACCGAACUAGAAAGAAAGAACCAUAGCUUACUACUUUUGCAUUUAUACCAAGAGAUGGGGACCAACCUUCGUCGAUGAGAACUUCGGAAUCAGUCGGAGGCUGACUGCCUGUUCGUUGAGACAAAGGAGCUCCGACGACAACACAGUACGGCGGAGGAGACCCCGGCCACAGUGGCAGAGCUCUGCUGCUCGCCAGACGAGAUCGGGAAAGAACCCGGUGACGACGGGAAUUUGCGGAGACCUUUGGGCGAAGGGCGGCGUCAACUUUGACCAAAGUUACAGAGGCAACUUGCCUGAACCAAGAAGAAGGGACAGAAUGAGGUUGAGCCCGGUUCUUGAGCAGAGGACAGAUUUCAGCGGUGCGGCGAUCUCUGGCCAAGGCGGACGCGACGGCGUCGAACAAGGGCGGAGACCCGCGAUUCGGACGGAGAAACCGGGGCUCGACUUUCCUCCCCAAUUGUGUGUCUUCGUUGAGACCGAGAAAGCGAGGAGAUUUUGGCCCUGAUUUGAGUUCCACUUGAUGUUACUAGAGGAAAGAGGGCAGAGCCGUUGAAGGCGGCGGCGUCGCCGGAAUUUCAAAACAGCGGCGGAGACGGUUUCACUCAAUAGAGAGGAAACUAAGGUCGACCGCGAAUCUGUGCGUGAGGAAGAUCGAGAUAGGGGAAUAGAGGCAUCAACCUCGCCGGGGCCGUUCGCGGCGGAGCUGCGGAGGCGGCGGACGUCCAGACAAACGGAGGCUCAGCGUGGUGAUCAGCGGCGGCGGCGCUGGACCCCUCGCCGAAAACAGAUCGAGAGAGAGAGAUGUUCCGAUUUUGAGGAAAGAAAAAAAAGAGUUGUGUUGACUGUUGAGCCGAUUUGGGAGAAGAAACGACCGCCGCUCAUCGAAAGUUCAGGGAGGCGGCGGUGAUUUCCGAUUUGGGAGAGCAGGGGCUCGCGCCGGCGACGAGAAGGCGCCGGAGCCGGCUGGAGGCUGAGAACGAGAGAGAGAAAAGAGAGAGGGAGCCGAUUUUGAGACUAUAGGGAGAGAGAUCGAUUUUGAGGGAGAUGAGAGUUGGGCUCUUGGGCUUUAGUUUAAUGGGCCUUUGUUAUUUAUUUAAUUUGGGCUUUUCCCUUUUAAUUGUAAUUGGGCCGAAAAUUGGGCUUUGAUUUAUUUUACUUUGGGCCGAAUUAUAUAACUCUCUGGGCCGAUUCUUUUAUUUAAAACCCAACUGCAUUUUUGUA